Molecule: ribosomal RNA, 504 nt
Filed under: uncultured bacterium
Lineage: Bacteria
Description: partial 16S ribosomal RNA
Rfam family: Bacterial small subunit ribosomal RNA
Source: RNAcentral
AUUGAACGCUGGCGGCAUGCCUUACACAUGCAAGUCGAACGGCAGCAUGGAGAGCUCGCUCUCUGAUGGCGAGUGGCGAACGGGUGAGUAAUGCAUCGGAACGUACCGUGUAAUGGGGGAUAACGUAGCGAAAGUUACGCUAAUACCGCAUACGACCUGAGGGUGAAAGCAGGGGAUCGAAAGACCUUGCGUUAUACGAGCGGCCUAUGUCAGAUUAGCUAGUUGGUGGGGUAAAGGCUCACCAAGGCGACGAUCUGUAGCGGGUCUGAGAGGAUGAUCCGCCACACUGGGACUGAGACACGGCCCAGACUCCUACGGGAGGCAGCAGUGGGGAAUUUUGGACAAUGGGGGCAACCCUGAUCCAGCCAUGCCGCGUGAGUGAAGAAGGCCUUCGGGUUGUAAAGCUCUUUCGGCCGGGAAGAAAUCGCACAGGCUAAUACUCUGUGUGGAUGACGGUACCGGCAUAAGAAGCACCGGCUAACUACGUGCCAGCAGCCGCGGUAA